CCUCAUGAUUGCUGCCUCUUUUGGCUUUUUGGCUAUUGGCUUCUGCUAUUCUCGUCUUCAUCUUUAAUCGCUGUCCUUAUUGUAAACUUAACCAAUAAUUCAAAGUCUCCGGUUAUCUAGUCAAUUUUCUGAUCCCUUCGCCUCUCAAAUCUCAUCAAGUUCCAAUCUUUUUAUUUCUUCUCAUGUCUUUCGCCCGAUUAGAAGUUCACACACUUGAAUCAAGAUCGAAUGAUCGCUUCACUAUGAUUGCUGGGUCGAAAGAUCUCGACUUUAUAACCGGAGGAGCUAAGUGAAAUAGAUUUGGGAUUUUUAGAUUCAUUAUUCCUUGAUGGGGAAGUGAGGUUGGCUGAGAUUUUUCCAUUUAUCAUAGGUGCACUUCUCUCCGCAAUGUUUAUGCUGUUCAGCAUACUUAAUCAGCUAAGCUGUCAAGAAACUGGUAUCUGUAUUUGAACUACAGUGGAUGGCUGAUCGUAAUGCUAAUGUCCGACCUCCGAAUGGCAAGCCUUCAGGAGGCACCAAUCCUUAUUUGAUUGAUCUGGAUAAUUUUACUAAACGGUUGAAAAUGCUAUAUUUGCAUUGGAGUGAAAACAACAUCGAACUUUGGGGUGCUUCUGAUGCUCUUGCUGUAGCAACACCUCCUCCUUCUGAGGAUCUGCGGUACCUGAAGUCAACUGCACUAAAUAUCUGGCUGGUUGGUUAUGAGUUCCCAGAGACCAUUAUGGUUUUCAUGAAGAAGCAGGUGCAUUUCUUAUGUAGUCAGAAAAAGGCUUCUUUGCUUGAUGUUGUGAAGAAACCUGCCAAGGAAUCUAUUGGUGUUGAAGUUGUGAUGCAUGUGAAGACCAAAAGUGAUGAUGGAAGUAGCUUGAUGGAUAACAUUUUCAAUGCUGUCCAUGCUUCUAGCGGUGACAAAACUCCUGUCAUUGGACACAUAGCAAGAGAAAGUCCAGAAGGGAAGCUUUUGGAGAUUUGGGAUAAAAAGUUGAAGAAUGGGAAUUGUGAAUUAAGUGAUGUGACAAAUGGGUUCUCAGACUUAUUUGCUGUUAAGGACAACACUGAACUUACAUAUGUGAGGAAAGCAGCAUUCUUGACUUCAUCGGUGAUGAAGCAGUUUGUGGUGCCAAAGCUUGAAAAGGUCAUUGAUGAGGAGAAGAAGAUCACUCAUUCUUCAUUUAUGGAUGAGACAGAGAAGGCAAUUCUAGAACCUGCUAGAAUUAAGGUGAAGCUGAAGGCAGAGAAUAUUGACAUUUGUUACCCUCCAAUUUUCCAGAGUGGGGGAGAGUUUGAUCUGAAACCAAGUGCUGCAAGCAAUGAUGAUAAUCUUUACUACGACUCCACUAGUGUUAUUAUAUGUGCAAUUGGGUCCCGUUAUAAUAGCUACUGCUCAAAUGUUGCUAGAACUUUUCUGAUUGAUGCGAAUUCCAUGCAGAGCAAGGCAUAUGAAGUCCUGCUUAGAGCCCAGGAGGCAGCAAUUAGCGCAUUGAAAUCUGGGAACCAAGUUAGUGCUGUUUAUCUAGCAGCUCUCUCUGUAGUUGAGAAGGAUGCCCCUGAAUUAGCUGCAAACUUGACUAAAACUGCAGGAACUGGAAUUGGCCUUGAGUUUCGCGAGUCAGGGCUGAGUCUUAGCUCCAAGAACAAUAGAAUUUUGAGACCAGGAAUGGUUUUCAAUGUGUCGCUUGGCUUUCAAAAUUUGCACACAGAGACUAACAAACCAAAGACGCAGAAAUUUUCAGUGUUACUUGCAGAUACAGUGAUUGUUGGUGAAAAGCUACCAGAUGUAGUGACUUCAAAGAGUUCUAAGGCUUUCAAGGAUGUGGCUUAUUCAUUCAACGAGGAUGACGACGAAGAAGAAGAGCUCUCAAAAGCGAGAGUUGAAGUUAAAGGUGGUGAGGCCACCUUGUCGAAGGCAACACUCAGGUCAGACAACCAUGAAAUGUCGAAGGAAGAACUACGAAGGCAGCACCAGGCUGAACUUGCCCGCCAAAAGAAUGAAGAGACUGCCAGGAGGCUUGCUGGUGGGGGUUCUUCUGCUUCAGAUAAUCGUGGUUCUGUUAAGAUGAUUGGCGACUUGAUUGCAUAUAAGAAUGUGAAUGACCUACCCCCUCCAAGAGAUUUGAUGAUUCAGGUUGACCAGAAGAAUGAAGCCAUCCUAAUACCAAUACAUGGAAGCAUGGUCCCAUUCCAUGUUGCCACUGUCAAGAGUGUGUCGAGCCAGCAGGACAGCAAUAGAACAUGCUACAUACGGAUAACAUUUAAUGUUCCUGGAACCCCUUUCAGUCCUCAUGAUGCAAACACUCUUAAGUUUCAAGGCUCAAUUUAUCUGAAGGAAAUUUCAUUUCGAUCCAAGGACUCUAGACACAUAAGCGAAGUGGUACAGCAGAUUAAAACCCUGCGGCGACAGGUCACUUCCAGAGAGUCUGAGAGAGCUGAGAGGGCAACAUUAGUUACUCAGGAAAAGCUGCAACUUGCAUCUACCAAGUUCAAGCCCAUAAAAUUGUAUGAUUUAUGGAUUCGCCCUGUUUUUGGUGGUCGUGGAAGAAAGCUGACUGGUUCACUCGAAGCCCAUGUAAAUGGGCUUCGCUAUUCAACUUCAAGGCCUGAUGAACGUAUUGAUGUUAUGUACAGUAACAUCAAGCACGCAUUCUUCCAGCCAGCGGAUAAGGAAAUGAUCACUCUUCUGCAUUUUCAUUUGCAUAAUCACAUAAUGGUAGGGAACAAAAAGACCAAAGAUGUUCAAUUUUUUAUUGAAGUGAUGGAUAUAGUCCAGACACUUGGAGGAGGAAAGAGAUCUGCCUACGACCCGGAUGAGAUUGAGGAAGAACAGCGAGAGAGGGAUAGAAAGAAUAAAAUAAACAUGGACUUCCAAAACUUUGUGAACCGGGUGAAUGAUGUUUGGGGCCAACCACAAUUCAGAGGACUUGACCUUGAGUUUGAUCAGCCCUUGAGAGAGCUUGGGUUUCAUGGGGUUCCUCACAAAGCCUCAGCUUUCAUUGUCCCUACAUCAAGCUGUCUGGUUGAACUGAUAGAGACACCUGUUGUCGUAAUCACCCUGAGUGAGAUCGAGAUAGUUAAUCUGGAGAGAAUUGGUCUUGGACAGAAGAACUUUGAUAUGACUAUUGUAUUUAAAGACUUCAAGAGGGACGUCCUUCGGAUAGACUCCAUUCCAUCCACAUCGCUGGACAGCAUCAAAGAGUGGCUUAACACAACUGACCUCAAGUAUUAUGAGAGCAGACUAAAUCUGAACUGGCGGCCUAUAUUGAAAACUAUCACUGAUGAUCCUGAAAAAUUCAUAGAAGAUGGUGGAUGGGAAUUUUUAAACAUGGAGGUUAGUGACUCAGAUUCUGAGAACUCAGCAGACUCCGAUCAUGGCUAUGUGCCUUCAGACGUGCAAUCUGACUCAGGAUCUGAAGACGAGGAUGACGGCAGUGAGUCACUGGUGGAGUCUGAGGAUGAUGAGGAUGAGGACUCUGAGGAAGAUUCAGAAGAGGAUGAGGGGAAGACGUGGGAAGAGUUGGAGAGAGAAGCAAGCUAUGCAGACAGGGAGAAGGGGGAUGACUCAGAUAGUGAGGAAGAGAGAAAAAGAAGGAAGAUGAAGGCAUUUGGUAAGGCUCGAGCGCCACUAUCUCGGGCACCACCGCCUCGAGCACCACUAUCUCGGGCACCACUGCCUCGAGCACCACCAUCUCGGGCACCACCGCCUCGAGCACCUGAUAGAAGAAAUUCUGGGGGUAGUCUUCCCAAAAGACCCAAAUUAAGAAGAACCACGCUUGAGAGAAAUGAAGGCAAGGAACAAGAUCCAAGAGUGUAGGUACGCUCUUUAAUAUUUGGUACUGUUAACUCUUUUUCAAUUUUACCUUAAUAGCCAAAAUAUUGAUUUGAUUGUGUGUUUAGUUGUGGUUUGGAGAAAAAAAGAAACAAUAGUAGUGGAUAGGUGGAGGAUGUUGUAAUUGAAGCAGCCAAGUUCCAUUAUAUGAAAGGAUGUGAUUCUCUAUAUCUUUUAGGGUAAUUUGAUCGAUGCUGGUUAGCAGAAUUUCAAAUAGAUGCUAUAGAGAAUGCACAAUGAAUUAGUAGCUUAUGUUUCUCUCAUACAGACUUGCACUAUUGAAAGCUUGAUAUUGCAAAAAGGAGAGAAAGCUACCAAUAAGAGGCAUUAAAAUCCAAAGUAUCUGUUAAAUGCCAUUAAACUUCAGAUUCUAUGGUAUCAUCAAUGCAUCACACAUGCACCUGCUCGUUUUGUUUGUCAUAUGAGCAUAUCUAAUUACACUAUUCUUUGUUUUUGCAUACAAGGAAAAAUGAAUCCUAAUUCAGUUAAAUCCACUUUGUCUAGUUUAGCCUUUGGCAAUGUAAUAGCAGCUGCUGCUUGCAAUCAUCAGAAGGAAUUUCUCACUCAAGAGAAGACACACUGGCAGCAAGUUCUAUCAACUAAGAGGUUGACCUUGAUGAGUUGAUGGAUGAAAGAUUUAAUGGAUUUUGAACUGGAUAAACUGCAGGCGGACAUGAUUGCAGCUCUUAAGGUAAUUAGUUUAAAAAUUGUAUGAUUUAUUGCAUGCAGCUCUUGGGUGAAGUCACCGGCAGUGAGCACAUGAUUUGCCAUUUCUACCACAGAGAGUUCUAUCAUGCAAGUAAGGCUUUCACUUCAAGUUCUCUGUGUCAGAGGCACACUCGUACAUAUUCAUUUGUAUGAACUUGUUUUAUUUUAUGUAACUUUUUUGGGUCACGGUCUCACAUUUAAUGAUAUGUUGAUUGGUUAUUUGUGGAUAAUGGAUAAGCAUUUGAAGGCUCUUGCAUCAAGGCAUCUUGAUACCAAGUUCAUCAAGCUGGGCGCAGAAUUCUGUGCUUGACUUUUCAUUUCUACUUUGCUUCUGAACUGAAAUUUUGAUUUACUCCUCACAAAUACAUGGCUUUUCUAAUGAGUUGCCUAUGGUAUUGUAAGAAUCUUUAAUGAACUGCAGAAUGUACCCUCUUUGUUGCCAAGCUUGGAGUCAAGACUAUACCUCUUGUCAUAUACUGUUCAGGUCUGCCAUAUUUAGCACCUUUAUUCCUACCAUAGCUUACUGGGGUCCUUUUUACACUGUGAUAACAUUGUUCUGUUUGAUUUCCCUGAGCACAGAAGAUUUGAGAAAGCUGGUAUUUGAUAGUUAAUUAAUACCAUCCUUAUCUGCAUGAUUUUUGAAUCUGUGGCUAUGUAUUUGAUAAUAAAGGAUUGAAUAGAUUAGCUGUGGAAUAUUCAGAAGUUAUCUCAGACAACCAUAAUAAAUAUAGGAACACCAUCAGAACUUACAUUUCAAUGCAUAUUGGUGACCUACAUAUUGAAAUUUUGCAUCAAUAUAUUUUAGACUUGGGAAGUUGCAUUGCAUUGUUUAUUAAAUAUUAUCCUGAAAGAACGCCAGUGUUUUCAUUAGGAAAGGGAUUGCAAUUGAUUAGACUCAUUGGGCUUUAAGAUUUGGGAGGAACAGGUAACUUCACCACAAAAACAAAUGGAGAUUCUUCUGAUAAAGAAAGGUAAACGUCCAGUUUGCUAUGCAAUUAGCAGUUCUAUGGAGAAAAGUCUCAUCUUACAGAUACAUAAUCAGUGAGAAGAAAGAUAAUGAAGACGAUGAUUAUCACGGAAGCAAGCAGGCGAAGGACAGUAAGAUCGUCUGUGCCGACUCCAAUUCUGAUUGAAAUCAAAAUACUAUAAAAGAAACUACAAAUUCGUACCUUUGUAUUUCUUUUAAAUGUGGUUGUAUGACUAUUUUUUGCAUGCUAUUCUUCUAUGUGCUAUCUCCUUCAGUUUUUAUUUCCUCUUUAAGUUCAAUAGAGAAAUAACAUAACAGAAGAAAGAAAAUAUAAUCCCAUGUAAACAAUGGGAUGGAUAAGAUGAUAGUAGAGGCAUCAUCUUCCCUUUUCACGCCAUGCACAUGUUAGUUCAACUGAAUUCUUCAGUCGCCUAACCACCAAUGCCAAUCGAAAUGCCAAAAUGCUUCUUCACACUUUCCUGUUUGUAGUAUCCAUUUUGUCCUUAAUUAGUUUCUUCCAAUAUCAUCCAACUAAACCAUUUAAGGAGGAGAUGCAUUUUGGAAAGCAGUUUUCCAACACUUCCUUUGGCAGGAAAGCUAAAGGAAAUUGUCAAUCACAACACUGUUUUGAUAGGGUGGAAUUGAACAGGAAAUAUAGGAAAACAAAAGAAAGAAAACUAUUUUCUUUUUUUCCUUAUUCUUAGAAGAACAAAUGCUACAUUUCUUUUCUUUUCAUCAUCCAAAUGAAAUUCCAAAAUAAAACUAAGAUUUUAGUUUCUUUUCAUUUCAUUUUCCUCUUCUAAUGCUCUUUAUUUUUUCUGUGCAUAUCUAGUGCACCAACACAUGGGUAAAUAAGUGUAUGAUUAUUUCACACUUCAAUGAGAAAACAUAGCCACAAGACACCCAUCAUAGGGAAAUAGUAUUUAUUUUUACUACUCUACUUUCCAAUUUUACCAAAGUAACCACCACAUCAUAAAGAUUUGUACAUCAACCAAACACCCAUAUUCCAUUUAUGAAGGGGUAGUUGAGGAAAUUGUGAAAUUAAAUUGUAAUAUUAUUGGCCCACACUCUUAGUUUGGUUUGGUGAUUAUAAUUUUAGAAAUUGGCUCCAACUUCUCCCCUGCCCAAAUCGCCCACUAACCAACCAACACCCAACUCUCUUUCUCCACUCCACUCUCCAAUCUCCAUCUUCUUCUUGUUGUUGCGUUUG
Molecule: RNA transcript, 6705 nt
Organism: Ricinus communis (castor bean)
Lineage: Eukaryota; Viridiplantae; Streptophyta; Magnoliopsida; Malpighiales; Euphorbiaceae
Gene name: FACT complex subunit SPT16
Exons: 6
Source: RefSeq, a predicted model, not a curated record